UUAGUAGAUGAUGUGAGCCCGGUUAGUAGUGUGCCGCCUAUUGUUGAGCAUAAAGUUGAAGCUGAAGCCAAUGAGUAUCCCCUAUAUGAGUUCGGAGGUAGUGCACCGAUGAAAGAUGAUGGUGAUGACUCCGACGAAGAGUAUGAGAGGCAUCACAACAUUGUUGGUGACGUAGAGGCCGAAGUAAGGCAUCAGGACAUGGAUCCUGACAUUAUCUAUCAGCGUGCUUGUGUGAAUGACUCAGAUGAUGAAGGCCCGGUGAAUGAGUUGGACGAAGAUGGCUUGACUGAGAAAGAAGCAGAGUGGUACACAAAAUUCACCAGUAGGGAUCACAAAGUUCCCUUGUUUUGUGAUGUUAGCCUUGCAGAUAAGGCUAUAGUUGACGGUGGCAUGAGCAAGACAAUUGAGGCUAGACAGUUCCCAAGUAGUACACCCGACGCGAUUUCG
This 447-nucleotide ribosomal RNA is filed under the name Triticum aestivum (bread wheat). Its description in RNAcentral is "partial small subunit ribosomal RNA". The record is from RNAcentral. Lineage: Eukaryota; Viridiplantae; Streptophyta; Magnoliopsida; Poales; Poaceae.